Molecule: transfer RNA, 76 nt
Filed under: Enterococcus cecorum
Lineage: Bacteria; Bacillati; Bacillota; Bacilli; Lactobacillales; Enterococcaceae
Description: tRNA-Arg
Rfam family: tRNA
About the family: Transfer RNA (tRNA) molecules are approximately 80 nucleotides in length.
Source: RNAcentral
UGCUUGCAUAGCUCAGAUGGAUAGAGCAACAGCCUUCUAAGCUGUCGGUCGUAGGUUCGAUUCCUGCUGCAAGUGU